AGUUUUGAAAAAGGUUUUAUCAUCUAAAAUUUAUAAUAAUUUCAUAACAUUAAGUCUUGCUAGUUCUAUAAUGAUAAGUCAAUGUUAUUCGAGAAAUGAAGAUUAUGUAAUAUAUGCUCACAGUUUGAUGAAACACUUUGUCUGUCAGUCUAUUCAAAUUUACGGUCCGGAUUUUGUAUCACACAACAUACAUAACUUUUUGCAUUUAAGCGACUGUGUAAAAUUAUAUGGUUCACUUGACAAUUUUAGCGCUUUUCCUUUUGAAAAUUAUAUGCAACAAUUAAAGAAGAAAGUUCGUAAAUCAGCUCAGCCUUUACAGCAAGUUAUAUGUACAUCGCGUGCUUGAGGAAAGUAAUAUUGCUCAACAUAACUUUAAUAAUAUCUAAUAUAAUAUAAGUGUUCGAUAUACGACCUAUAUGAUUCACGCCGGACACCGAUCGCGGUGAUAUCAUUGUUUUCGUUCUCGUAUCAUCUCGGUGAAAUUCGGCGUAUUCCGAAAACACGGACGAGUGGGGAAAUGAGCCUCGACGGUUUCCAUCGAUGUGUCCGUGAUAUACUUCUGUUACAACAGUCGCGCGAAUAACAAGUAAGACCUUCACAACAACCGGCGAGCGAACGAACGAACAUUGUACAUCGAUCUACUCGGCACCGCAACAAUAAAUCUCGAUCUUGAGAAUUAAAUUUGAUUGCAUAUGUUACGUGGAUUUCCCCGUCACAUCACAGUUUGGCGAGACAAUACAAUUAAGAGAAUUACGGACAUCAAAAUACUCGCAUCACGCAUACGAGAUCACAUUUUCUCGUACAAUAAGCGAUUAAUAAUAUAAGCGAGUAGUUUGGGCACUUAUGACACUUAUAAAAAAGCGCAUCAAAAGGCAAACAAAACCAAAAGUACAAACAUUCUUACUUCUAAUAAUGAAGAGUUGAAAGAGAAAAGAAAACGUAAUACAAAAACUAAAAAACGCAAUAACAAAUCUGAAAGUGAAUCGUCCUUCUCUGAAAUAGAUAGAUCAUCAUCAGAUGAUGAUGCACUAUAUCCUGACGUUCCAAAUUUUAACGAACAAAUUGACUCAAACAAUAGAAAGAAAAAUCAAAUAGAAAAUAACACUCAUAAGUUCAAAGUUACUGUUGAUACUAUUUCUAAUUCUGGUACUAGUACUUCUAUUUCUAAUAUUGUUGAGUCAUAUCAUAAAAACCCGGCUUUGGAAUUAAA
Molecule: non-coding RNA, 1210 nt
Organism: Nylanderia fulva
Lineage: Eukaryota; Metazoa; Arthropoda; Insecta; Hymenoptera; Formicidae
Source: RefSeq, a predicted model, not a curated record